UUUUCGGUUCCUCGCAACUAGCUUUAGCUCACCGGGUCAGGUUCGGAAGAAAGCAGCCCAAGUUAAACGUUGGUGUGCCGAGAAAAAGCUGGAAAGGU
This 98-nucleotide signal recognition particle RNA is filed under the name Mergibacter septicus. Its description in RNAcentral is "Bisgaard Taxon 40 Bacterial small signal recognition particle RNA". It matches the Rfam family "Bacterial small signal recognition particle RNA". Rfam says of the family: The signal recognition particle (SRP) is a universally conserved ribonucleoprotein involved in the co-translational targeting of proteins to membranes. Archaeal SRP consists of a 7S RNA and homologues of the eukaryotic SRP19 and SRP54 proteins. The record is from Rfam by way of RNAcentral. Lineage: Bacteria; Pseudomonadati; Pseudomonadota; Gammaproteobacteria; Pasteurellales; Pasteurellaceae.